GAUGAAGAACGCAGCGAAAUGCGAUACGUAAUGUGAAUUGCAGAAUUCAGUGAAUCAUCGAGUCUUUGAACGCACAUUGCGCCCCCUGGUAUUCCGGGGGGCAUGCCUGUCCGAGCGUCAUUGCUGCCCUCAAGCACGGCUUGUGUGUUGGGCCUCCGUCCUCCUCCCGGGGGACGGGCCCGAAAGGCAGCGGCGGCACCGCGUCCGGUCCUCGAGCGUAUGGGGCUUCGUCACCCGCUCUUGUAGGCCCGGCCGGCACUUGCCGACACAUCAAUCUUUUUUCCAGGUUGACCUCGAAUCAGGUAGGGAUACCCGCUGAACUUAAGCAUAUCAAUAAGCGGAGGA
This 345-nucleotide unclassified non-coding RNA is filed under the name soil metagenome. Its description in RNAcentral is "partial contains 5.8S ribosomal RNA, internal transcribed spacer 2, and large subunit ribosomal RNA". The stretch from base 1 to 120 matches the Rfam family "5.8S ribosomal RNA", at positions 35 to 154 of the family's 154-position model. The record is from RNAcentral.